Long non-coding RNA from Herpailurus yagouaroundi (jaguarundi), 852 nucleotides. RefSeq lists it as uncharacterized. The transcript is spliced from 2 exons. The record is from RefSeq and is a predicted model, not a curated record. NCBI's taxonomy places the organism in Eukaryota, Metazoa, Chordata, Mammalia, Carnivora, Felidae.
AUUGCCCUUUUCUUGUAAUAUUACUAAGAUAUUCGUAAACUGAUGCAGACUUUUUCAGUUUAACCAUUUGUUUUCUGUCCUUUCCUUUGUUCUUGGGCAGCCAGGAGUGACUGAGGAAUAUCACAUAUCCCACCUGGGGGUGGGGGAUGUGGUACCUUAUCCUUUGCCUUCAGCCUGCCUUAUGGUUCCUCAACUCCAAAACCCCAUCAUGAAUUACAGGCUAUAGUGCUGCUAGCUCCAGGAUGGAUAAACAUUUGCCUAAACUUAUAGUAAUUUAAAUAUCAAAUAUCAAUCUUUCCUUGAGGUAAAUUACACCUCAUGGAAUGCUUAUGGAAACUGGAUGGCCAAAGAAGGAAUUGAGGAUUGAGGACCAUGAACUCUUUCAGAAGCUUAAUUAUUCUAUUCAACAGUAUCACAAGAUCCAAAUAAGUAUGGAAGAGGGAGGAAAAACUAUAGUUAAAUUGAUUUAAAAAUACAUAUAUGACCAGACAUGUCAGGGAUUGUUUUGAAUGGCUACAAUAUGUCUUUCCUUCCCAUGGUGUGGUCUCCUCCUGUUACGGAACCAGGCUGGCACGCUGGCAGAAAAACCAAGCAGCACUCGGAGAUCUUGGUGGAUCAGAGAUUUAUUUAACACCAGUUGGCUCAGAGGAGACCGUUUCUCCAAAGAUCUGAGCGCCGAAUGCAAGUGGGAAUGGCUGCAUGUGCCAAAGAACAAGGGAGGAGGGACUGAAAGUGUCUGCAACUCCUUAGGCAAUUUAUUUUCAUAAAUCGUCUGCUGUAAGUGCCCUCAGUGUGCCUUUCGGUCAGACACUUGCUCUUGAAAGGACAUCGAUUAAAGCCUUGCUUCAGAUG